CCAAUAGCGUAUAUUAAAGUUGUUGCAGUUAAAAAGCUCGUAGUUGAACUUCGGGGUUUACCCAUUGGUCAGGCUUAAUUGUCUGCACUGGUGAGAUGGAUCUCUACCUUCUGAGGAACUUUCAUGCCAUUUAUUUGGUGUGAUGGGAAAUCAGGACUGUUACUUUGAAAAAAUUAGAGUGUUUAAAGCAGACUAUCGUCUGAAUACAUUAGCAUGGAAUAAUGAAAUAGGACGGACUGAUUCUAUUUCGUUGGUUUCUAGGAUCACCGUAAUGAUUAAUAUGGAUAGUUGGGGGCAUUAGUAUUCAAUUGUCAGAGGUUAAAUUCUUGGAUUUAUUGAAGACUAACUACUGCGAAAGCAUUUGCCAAGGAUGUUUUCAUUAAUCAAGAACGAAAGUUAGGGGAUCGAAGACGAUCAGAUACCGUCGUAGUCUUAACCAUAAACUAUGCCGACUAGGGAUCGGACGACGUAUAAUUAUUGACUCGUUCGGCACCUUAUG
RNAcentral lists this ribosomal RNA (499 nucleotides) under uncultured Diversispora. RNAcentral describes it as "SSU rRNA". It matches the Rfam family "Eukaryotic small subunit ribosomal RNA", at positions 591 to 1092 of the family's 1831-position model. The record is from RNAcentral. Lineage: Eukaryota; Fungi; Glomeromycota; Glomeromycetes; Diversisporales; Diversisporaceae.